Molecule: RNA transcript, 1752 nt
Organism: Rhodamnia argentea
Lineage: Eukaryota; Viridiplantae; Streptophyta; Magnoliopsida; Myrtales; Myrtaceae
Exons: 10
Source: RefSeq, a predicted model, not a curated record
GAUGCAGCAAAAGUAAUCCAAAAACCCAAAUUUUUCCUUUUUUGGCAAACCCAAAUCCGAGUUAGCAAAUGGUAAUAGACCUGCCUCUUUCGGAGACGGAGGAUGUCCUGUCCCGUGCGACCUCAAUAGCGAAAGAACGCAGCCCACCGUCUUAGACCCAUUACUGCGCAGUAAGCACUGCACGAGCGUAGCUCCUCUGAUUCUGCCUCACCAAAUCCCCCUUUCUCUCAAUCUCAAAGUUCUCGGCUUUUCCUCAAGAAGCGUUUCCUCCGUACGUGCUUUCAUCUCUUUUUCUGCGUGCUUUUUGAUCCAUGGAGGCUUUUUCGAGCAAGGUCUUCGUGUCCCGAGUCCCCGAGACAUGCCCAGUUGUGAGCAGCCCCGUUUGUUCGGUCAAGUCGCCCAACCAGCGAAUUGGGUGUCUCCGGAUGAUCGAAGAUUGUCACUUUGGCGGGCUCAGAGCUUCCGCCUUGGCGUCCCAGGGGUUCGGCGAGGGCGAGGAGGAUGGGCCGUUGGAUAACGGAAUCGAUUUUAUAUCCGAGGAUGCUGUCUCUUCUUCCCAGGGCGACGUGAGGCUGAACCAACACAGUGAAAUGAAUGUGGCUAAAACAUUGGAGAAUGAGAUGCCUCUUUCGGUCCCAUACGGAAGCGGCACGAGAGCUGGGCUUUUCAGGACACCAAUAUCUGGUGGGGUCCAAAGUGCAACCUCGGCUCAUGGUUUACCUCGGCCAGCGUUGGCAGUUCGCAAUCUGAUGGAGCAGGCCAGAUUUGCUCAUUUGUGCACUGUAAUGUCUCGGAUGCAUCAUCGACGGGAAGGAUACCCAUUUGGUUCACUGGUGGAUUUUGCACCUGAUUCCAUGGGCCACCCUAUAUUUUCAUUUUCACCCUUGGCAAUCCACACAAGGAACUUAUUGGCUGACCCAAGAUGCACCCUAGUUGUGCAAAUACCUGGAUGGAGUAGCUUGUCAAAUGCGAGGGUGACCAUUUUUGGUGAUGUUUAUCCCCUUCCGGAAGUCCAGCAGGAAUGGGCGCAUAAGCAAUACGUUGCUAAACAUCAGCAAGGGCCUUCCCAGCAGUGGGGGAAUUUCUACUAUUUCAGAAUGCAGAAUAUCAGUGAUAUAUACUUUAUUGGAGGCUUUGGCACUGUUGCUUGGGUUGAUGUCAAGGAGUACGAGUCCUUACAACCUGAUAAAAUUGCAGUUGAUGGAGGCGAGCAAAAUUUAAAGGAACUCAAUGCAAUAUUUUCUAAGCCCUUAAAGAAGCUUCUGUCGACUGAAAGUGAGGUGGACGAUGCUGCUCUUAUAUCAAUAGACAGCAAGGGAACUGAUAUCCGCGUCCGGCAAGGUGCACAGUUCAAUAUACAGAGGAUAUCGUUUGACGAAGGGCAUGCUGUCGAAACCUUGGAGGAAGCUAAGACUGCCCUUUGGAAGCUAAUCGAUAAGGGUAAAGUGCCAUACUUGCAGAAAUAGACGACAGGGUUGAUGUCAACACAAUUUUUGAUUUUUCAGGUCCUUGUUCACCAAAGUGGUGAUUAGAAGCGAGUGAUGGACGACAGAGCUACAGAGCCAAUCAUCAUUGCAUCAUUCUUUGAGUUUUGCUGUACUUGAAUAUGUUUGUAUAAAUUAGGACAUGAGAAUAAAGUAAUUAGGUACUCUCGCUGCUUCGAAUACAUAGUUUGUUCUGAGGUUCUUGGCAAUCGGUUGAUUCUUGGUAAAUUAACAUCGGAUCAAAGGAUUGACCUAUGCCCUGCUCUUA